GUGGGGAAUAUUGGGCAAUGGGCGAAAGCCUGACCCAGCAACGCCGCGUGAAGGAAGAAGGUUUUCGGAUCGUAAACUUCUAUCCUUGGUGAAGAUAAUGACGGUAGCCAAGAAGGAAGCCCCGGCUAACUACGUGCCAGCAGCCGCGGUAAUACGUAGGGGGCAAGCGUUGUCCGGAAUGAUUGGGCGUAAAGGGCGCGUAGGCGGCCUGGUAAGUCUGGAGUGAAAGUCCUGCUUUUAAGGUGGGAAUUGCUUUGGAUAGUGUCGGGCUUGAGUGCAGGAGAGGUAAGUGGAAUUCCCGGUGUAGCGGUGAAAUGCGUAGAGAUCGGGAGGAACACCAGUGGCGAAGGCGACUUACUGGACUGUAACUGACGCUGAGGCGCGAAAGUGUGGGGAGCAAACAGGAUUAGAUACCCGAGUAGUCC
RNAcentral lists this ribosomal RNA (425 nucleotides) under uncultured bacterium. RNAcentral describes it as "partial 16S ribosomal RNA". It matches the Rfam family "Bacterial small subunit ribosomal RNA", at positions 354 to 796 of the family's 1533-position model. The record is from RNAcentral.